This 273-nucleotide ribosomal RNA is filed under the name uncultured prokaryote. RNAcentral's name for it is "partial 16S ribosomal RNA". It matches the Rfam family "Bacterial small subunit ribosomal RNA", at positions 524 to 776 of the family's 1533-position model. The record is from RNAcentral.
GACAGAGGGGGCAAGCGUUGCUCGGAAUCACUGGGCGUAAAGGGCGCGUAGGCGGGAUGGCAAGUCAGUCGUGAAAUCUCUCGGCUCAACCGAGAAACGUCGGCUGAUACUGCCGUUCUUGAGGGAUGCAGAGGAGACUGGAAUUCCCGGUGUAGCGGUGAAAUGUGUAGAGAUCGGGAGGAACACCGGUGGCGAAGGCGGCCCGCUGGGCAGGAAGACGGGCGCAAGUCCGUCGGCUGACACUGAGGCGCGACAGCGUGGGGAGCAAACAGG